GAUUAACGCCGGCGGCAUGCCUAAUACAUGCAAGUUGAAUGCCUGUAGCAAUACAGAAACAUGGCGAACGGGUGAGUAAUACAUAAGUAACCUGCCCUGAUGAGGGGGAUAACGUUUAGAAAUGAGCGCUAAUACCGCAUAAUCCAAUUUGGAAGAGAUUCUAGAUAGGGAAAGGAUCGCAAGAUCGCAUUAGGAUGGGCUUGUGGAGCAUUAGCUAGUUGGUGGGGUAAAGGCCUACCAAGGCCACGAUGCUUAGCCGACCUGAGAGGGUGAACGGCCACACUGGAACUGAGACACGGUCCAG
RNAcentral lists this ribosomal RNA (304 nucleotides) under uncultured bacterium. RNAcentral's name for it is "bacterial SSU rRNA". It matches the Rfam family "Bacterial small subunit ribosomal RNA", at positions 28 to 334 of the family's 1533-position model. The record is from RNAcentral.